UACGUAGGGAGCAAGCGUUGUCCGGAUUUAUUGGGCGUAAAGAGCUCGUAGGCGGCUUAGAAAGUCAGGUGUGAAAACUCUGGCUUAACCCAGAGACGCCACUUGAUACUUCUAUGGCUUGAGUUCGGUAGGGGACCAUGGAAUUCCUGGUGUAGCGGUGAAAGUGACGCAGAUAUCAGGAGGAACACCGAUGGCGAAGGCAGUGGUCUGGGCCGAUACUGACGCUGAGGAGCGAAAGCGUGGGGAGCGAACAGG
RNAcentral lists this ribosomal RNA (255 nucleotides) under uncultured bacterium. Its description in RNAcentral is "partial 16S ribosomal RNA". It matches the Rfam family "Bacterial small subunit ribosomal RNA", at positions 524 to 776 of the family's 1533-position model. The record is from RNAcentral.